Molecule: transfer RNA, 74 nt
Filed under: Myxococcales bacterium
Lineage: Bacteria; Pseudomonadati; Myxococcota; Myxococcia; Myxococcales
Description: tRNA-Lys
Rfam family: tRNA
About the family: Transfer RNA (tRNA) molecules are approximately 80 nucleotides in length. Their secondary structure includes four short double-helical elements and three loops (D, anti-codon, and T loops).
Source: RNAcentral
GUCGAUGAAGCUCUGUGGUGGAGCGCCUGGCUCUUGGGACCGGGUGGACGCGGGUUCGAAUCCCGUCAUCGGCC